GGGAAAUUGAUUGCUUACUUAAACUGUCAAUAAUGACGACAUUUACAGGAACCACCCUUUGGUAAAGCUCGUAGCUAACGAAAAGCUGAAAUCAGCUUUCAAGAAGAACAAAAGACUAGUUUCAUCGUAUACAGAAUCCGUCCUCGUCAAGGAAGCGUGUUCAGUGAUCAUGCACGAGGCGACUGGAUGUAGUUAUAAAGAGGCCACAGAGGCUCUGCAACGAACGGUGGCCAAAAGUUUUUUCACAGCAUAUAGCCUGGCAACAACUCACCGCUCGAGCAUAAAAGAAUAUUGGUCAA
This is a long non-coding RNA of Dreissena polymorpha, 299 nucleotides long. RefSeq lists it as uncharacterized. The transcript is spliced from 4 exons. The record is from RefSeq and is a predicted model, not a curated record. Lineage: Eukaryota; Metazoa; Mollusca; Bivalvia; Myida; Dreissenidae.